ACUCUGGGAAGGAUGUGUCCGGCGCCUGAGCUUCGCUGCACUGUACUAGGCCCUGGGGAACCAACCCCCACCGACAUGCCGGGCCUCUGUCUUAGGGGGCCUCGGUCUUUGUCUGGGUGUGACUGGGUGUGUUCCGCAGCGAGUUUGUGUGGGGUGUGACUAAUGGGAUUUAUGUAUGUCAGUGCCAGGGUGACUAAUGGAGGGCUUGGCAGCACGUGUGUUUGGGGAGGGACACUGCACCUAGGUGGGGAGUCCGUGUCCCAGGAGGGGGCUGCCUAGUCUCUCAGAAGUUCCACUCCCCUCCCCCACCCCUGGUCCCUGCUUUGUUUGGGCUUCUGCACCUCCCCAGCAGGCCCGUGCAUGCUAAGGGUUCUGGAGCAAAUUCCACUGCCAACCCGGCCCCCAGAGGCCCUCCUCGCCUCCCACCUCCCUAACCCACGUGGUGCCUCCGGAUUGGGCUGCCAGCCCUCCCUCCCCCCUGUUUUCCUGUCUCUGAAAGUUCCCUGGGAUGUCCUGGGCAUCUCUCCCCUGGACCUGUGAUUUGGUUACUGUCCUAUCCAUUUCUGCUUGAGGGGCAGAAAGGAAAAGGGACAAUCACACAGCUGGAAAGUGGCAGCAAGCAUCAUCUACCAAGCCAGGCAGAGUGUCUGAAAGGUGAAACCCCAGCAUCUCCCCACUUUUGUGUGUGUGUGUGUGUGUGUGUGCACGCGCGCGUGCGUGUGCGUAUGCUGGGCAUGGAUCCCCUAGCUCAUGUGUGUUAAAGCUGAGCUCUCUACCAGUCAGCUACACUCCCAGCCCCUCAGCACACCUAACAAGCUGACCACCUGCCUUGCCACCCCCACCUGUAUCCUUUCAGUCCUCUCUCUUGGCUACUGUGGAAUUUGUCCUACCCCUGGUGGGGGGAGGGGAGGCAACGGAGGUCCGAGAUUGGUGGGAGUCCCUGGUUUGGCCUGGGGCAAGUAGAGAUUGG
This 970-nucleotide long non-coding RNA is filed under the name Marmota monax (woodchuck). Lineage: Eukaryota; Metazoa; Chordata; Mammalia; Rodentia; Sciuridae. The record is from RNAcentral.